This is a long non-coding RNA of Homalodisca vitripennis (glassy-winged sharpshooter), 280 nucleotides long. RefSeq lists it as uncharacterized. Lineage: Eukaryota; Metazoa; Arthropoda; Insecta; Hemiptera; Cicadellidae. The record is from RefSeq and is a predicted model, not a curated record. The transcript is spliced from 2 exons.
UUGCGAUACCAAGAUUUUUUUGGAGAGUCUCAAGUCAAUUGAUGAACUGAAUAAUGCUCCUGGUCAAACGGCAACAUUUGGUGUCACUCACUUUGCUGACAGAACUGAGCAUGAGAAGAAACGGAACUUUGGACUAAUGCGCCCUUAAUUGAACAAGAGGAUAUAAUGAAACUAAGAAUUGUAUUUUUUUUUUUCUUAAAGCACUGUGACUGUAUGAAUAAUGUGAUUAAAGAUUUUUCAAUUCACAUUUUAUAAGAUUAAAAUGUAUUUUUAACAUUGA